CGCCGCCGCCGCGCGUCCGCUGGCUACACUUCCUCUUCCUCUGAACUCAUGGGCAAAAUAUGCUGCGCUGCAUCUUCAGGGGAAGCCGAGCGGCCGUGACAGCCGCAGUGGGAGCCGUGGGCCCGCCCAGCGUCCCCCGCCCCGCGCCCCUUCUAGUUCUGCGCCGCCACUUCCGAGCGGCGAGCCGAGAGCAGUCCUCGUGACCUCACGAUCUAGGCGCCCCAGGCUCACCGACCUUCCCUGUCGAUCCGCCUAACCAGGUUGUGUGCGGUCAGGAGAGCGCGUGGGAGACUAGGAUGCCCCAAGAUUUGAGCCAAGAUGCUGGAAGCGUGACCACCAUGGAGCACCCUGCCCCCAUUCUGAAGAUGACUGAGGCCAUCGGUGCCACCCGCUGAAGCGGUCUUGCUGCGUCCCAAGUACUCUGAGGCUUGGAAGGAAGGAGAAUCCCAGUCCGACUUCUAUUCUGCACCUUCCUCCCACCUCGCCUCACCCCAACCCGCGAUUUCACCUCACCCAGGCCCACUCUGCUUCUGGCUGAGCUGAAAAUGUCCCCAGUCCCAGUUAUUCUGUAAAUUAUGCAGUAACAACUUCUGGCAGAAAAUGGACCCAACAAAAGCUUUGGAACCUGAA
This is a non-coding RNA of Heterocephalus glaber (naked mole-rat), 630 nucleotides long. Lineage: Eukaryota; Metazoa; Chordata; Mammalia; Rodentia; Bathyergidae. The record is from RefSeq and is a predicted model, not a curated record.